Molecule: long non-coding RNA, 2964 nt
Filed under: Setaria italica (foxtail millet)
Lineage: Eukaryota; Viridiplantae; Streptophyta; Magnoliopsida; Poales; Poaceae
Description: long non-coding RNA (SITA_LNC000021)
Source: RNAcentral
GCUGGAUGCGGUCCCAUCAGACUCAUGUAAUGAUGUAAUCCACCAUAUGUGGUGACCCUUUUUAUUGUUCGCUUGAAAAGAGCUGCCGAGUUCAUCUAGAGGCUGGAACUAGUGCACCCGGUAGAUUGACAUCACUUGCUAGCAAUUUCACGUUGCCAUAUUGUUGGUGCCACUGAUUAGAACACAAGCUUGGAGGUCAUGCUGAUUAGAACAAAAGCAAGGAUAGCCACGUGGAAACAAAGCAUCUUAAAUAUGAAUGGAAUUAGGAUAGAAUAGGCAAACAGAAGCAGUCAAAAUGGAGUUGAAUAACAGAAAAGAAAUGAAGCUGGCCAAAGAAUUUCAGUAGAUAGAAUACACAAUGGUUAGAUGUCAGCCCACCUCUGUAGUGUAACGAGCAGAAAAGUGAAUGAGUAGAAUAGCUUUGUUUCCAAGCUUGUCAGACUGGCUUGCUAUCUGCAUUGCCAAAAAUAAACAUCACGGUAAAUACUAAUAUUUGAAAUGUUGGAAGUUGAAUAAACGAUUUUGGAAUAUCUCAAAUAACACACCUCAAAUAAGUGUGUGUGCCCAUAUUCUCUUGCAUGCUCAACCGAAAUGGAGUCGUCUAGAAAAGUACUCUGAAAUCCAUAGAGCACAUCUCACUACCAAAAAUAUCAUAGAGGGGAACGAUUUCAGAAAAUAAAACGUUCAGCAGUGGAAAUGGAACGCAUUGCUAAGUAAGGUUGCUACUUGCUGUUAGUGACAUAAAAAAUUUGUCACAUGUUGCAAACUGAGAGCAUAGCUGUAAAGCGACAAGUAAUAACAAAAUACCUCGACAACAAGAAUUUUUGCCCCCAACGCAUCUGCAUUGUCUGGAUCAAGAAUGAAAUCUGAUGUCGUAUCUCCCGUGAAAGCAAUCUCAGGGGUGGACACCGUAUUCGUGAUCUGCAAAUUAAAAAUAGGUGAAUGGUGAGGGGGGCAUAUAAGCCCAUACCACAUCAACAUGCUACUAGACGGUGCUUCAAUUUGAACUCCACAGCCACCAUGGCAGACAGACCUCCACACCUGAUAACUUCAACCGCUUAAUCUCGCUCCCUGGGAGACCAAUGAACUCCUGCUUGAGCUUCUGCUUCACCGAGUAUAUGACAUACCCCUGCACACACCCCCAUCCAAGCAUUGCAGGAUUAUAACGGAUCAAUUUGGAACAGGUGCAUCCAAGGACAAGGAGUGGAAUGAACCCAAGUAAUUCGCCACACCUGGCUGGGUAUGGCGUGGUAGGUCCUGAAAGCCCUGACCUUGAUGUCCCUCCUCAAUUCGUACUCCUCCCCGACCUCGAGGGGGACCAAGUUAUGCUUGAGCUCCGACUGGUCUAUGGCGCGGUGCACCUCGAACAGCCGCUCCACGAGGUCCCGGAGGCACGCCGGGACGAAGAUGGUGGCCGGGCGCAGCCUGAAGAGACCCCGCGUGGCCACGUACAUGGGGAGGCCCCCGAUGUGGUCGAGAUGCCCAUGGGAGAUGAAGAGGAACUCCUGCGAGAUGGCGCGCUGCGGGCACCGGCCGAUGUCGAAGGCGAGGCUCAGCGUCGGGAAGAUGACGCAGGUCUCUUGGCCGCCGAUGGAGAGGCCCUCCACGGGGUACCCCUCGAUCUCCAGCCGGUGCUUCGCCUUCGGCCUCGAUGGCGGCGCGGAAGCGGAAGUAAGAGGAGGGGCGGCGGCGGUGGACGCAGCCUCCGCCGCGGACUCGCUGACCUUCGCCAUCCCGCCGCCGACAAAGAGGGUUUGCGGCGCCGGCGGUCAAGGCGUGGGCGUGCGGUCGUGCGGACGAGAUGCUACUGCUGCUGGGUUGGGACUUGGGCCGUCGUUGUGGGGAGAGGUGGGCGAUUGGGCCUCUCUUGUGGGUUGCGGCCUUGGCUCAACAAGCAAAAACGAGGCCCUUUGGACAGCACGAUGGCCCGAUAUAAAUAAAAAAACUCAUACAAAAAUAAAACAUCAUAUUUUUCAAACAAAACAUCCAAAUAAAAAUCAAUUGCAUCAUUGUUUUUCUUAGAAUGAGAUUUUCAAAAUAAUACCACACUCGAAUAUAUUUGAAUGGUUUUCUAACUAGAAUUUGAUUGUUUGUACUAGAUGUUUUUGGCUCAACUUGUGUGGUUGGAUUAGGAAACUUAUUUAGAGGGUGCUCUAUGUGUAUCAAGAUCAAUGAGGAAAACAGCACAUAUUUUAAACCUAGGCUAUGUUCGGUUUCCGUGGUUCUAAUCCCCAAGAUGAUUUUUUUCCAUGCCGGGAAUAAACAGUGGAUCCUGAUCUGUUACUCUCUGAUGCUCGUGGGGACAAUUUCCAAUCUAGACUUAGAGUCUGAUUGGCUCACGGCCACAACGUGCCACCGCCUAAAGUGCACGCCUAAAGUGCGGCAAGUCACCAGUGUUUGGAUGCUGCUUGGUUCAGCUCGCAAAGCGUGGCAGCUAGCCAGCCACAGAGGCUUUUUCAGAAAAAAAAAAACCCGUCAUGGCCAUCAAAAGUUUGGACAUCAAUGAAUUGUUAGAGACUUCAGAUUGCUUACAAGUCAACUCAGAGGUAAAGCAGCGUUGUAAAGACAGAUCGUUGACUUGUUCUGUGAUCCAUGCCAUUCGUCGAUUUGCUGAUUCUGUUGCACCCAUCUUCAAUUCAUCAGUUGUUCAUUUCAUGAGGCAGCUCAUUUUCAAGCCGCUACUAUGAUGGUUAACCCAUUUCUAAUUCGGUGUGGCUGGAUGCGGUCCCAUCAGACUCAUGUAAUGAUGUAAUCCACCAUAUGUGGUGACCCUUUUUAUUGUUCGCUUGAAAAGAGCUGCCGAGUUCAUCUAGAGGCUGGAACUAGUGCACCCGGUAGAUUGACAUUACUUGCUAGCAAUUUCACGUUGCCAUAUUGUAUCUGUACAUUUUUCGUGAAACCAGUUAUUAAUGCCAUAACCCUGGUACAUUUUAUAGAUACAUCACAAAAAAAUGGUGGUCAAGG